GACGAACGCUGGCGGCGUGCUUAACACAUGCAAGUCGAACGGAAAGGCCCUGCUUUUGUGGGGUGCUCGAGUGGCGAACGGGUGAGUAACACGUGAGUAACCUGCCCUUGACUUUGGGAUAACUUCAGGAAACUGGGGCUAAUACCGGAUAGGAGCUCCUGCUACAUGGUGGGGGUUGGAAAGUUUCGGCGGUUGGGGAUGGACUCGCGGCUUAUCAGCUUGUUGGUGGGGUAGUGGCUUACCAAGGCUUUGACGGGUAGCCGGCCUGAGAGGGUGACCGGACACAUUGGGACUGAGAUACGGCCCAGACUCCUACGGGAGGCAGCAGUGGGGAAUAUUGCACAAUGGGCGGGAGCCUAAUGCAGCAACGCCGCGUGCGGGAUGACGGCCUUCGGGUUGUAAACCGCUUUCGCCUGUGACGAAGCGUGAGUGACGGUAAUGGGUAAAGAAGCACCGGCUAACUACGUG
This 468-nucleotide ribosomal RNA is filed under the name uncultured bacterium. RNAcentral describes it as "partial 16S ribosomal RNA". It matches the Rfam family "Bacterial small subunit ribosomal RNA", at positions 28 to 507 of the family's 1533-position model. The record is from RNAcentral.